AACUCUGAACCAGCUACGCCGUGUGCAGGAUGACGGUCUUUUAGGUUGUAAACUGCUUUUGUAUAGAAAUAAAACUCCUACGUGAUAGGAGCUUGAAGGUACUAUGCGAAUAAGUGUCGGUUAAUUCCGUGCCAGCAGCCGCGGCAAUACGGAUGACACAAGCGUUAUUCGGAUUUAUUGGGUUUAAAGGGUGUGUAGGCUGUUUGUUAAGUCAGUAGUGAAAGCUUACAGCUUAACUGUAAAAUUGCUAUUGAUACUGGUAAACUUGAGUAAGAUUGGAGCAUCUGGAAUGUAUGGUGUAGCGGUGAAAUGCAUAGAUAUCAUACAGAACACCGAUAGCGAAGGCAGGUUGCUAAAUCUUUACUGACGCUGAGUGCACGAAAGCGUGGGUAGCAAACAGGAUUAGAUACCCUGGUAGUCCACGCCCUAAACGAUGAUCACUAGCUAUUGGAAAAACGAUAUUCAGUGGCUUAGCGAAAGCGAUAAGUGAUCCACCUGGGAAGUACAGUCGCAAGAUUGAAACUCAAAGGAAUUGACGGGGGUUCGCACAAGCGGUGGAGCAUGUGGUUUAAUUCGAUGAUACGCGAGGAACCUUACCAAGGCUUAAAUGUAUUACGAAUAAGCUGGAAACAGUUUAGUCUGUACGACGUAUUACAAGGUGCUGCAUGGUUGUCUUCAGUUCGUGCUGUGAAGUGUUUGGUUAAGUCCUAUAACGAGCGCAACCCCUAUUGUUAGUUGCCAUCGGGUAAAGCCGGGGACUCUAACAAAACUGCCGGUGUAAACUGUGAGGAAAGGUGGGGAUGAUGUCAAAUCAU
RNAcentral lists this ribosomal RNA (815 nucleotides) under Candidatus Uzinura diaspidicola. Its description in RNAcentral is "bacterial SSU rRNA". It matches the Rfam family "Bacterial small subunit ribosomal RNA", at positions 379 to 1193 of the family's 1533-position model. The record is from RNAcentral. Lineage: Bacteria; Pseudomonadati; Bacteroidota; Flavobacteriia; Flavobacteriales.